GAGGCAGGAGAAUGGCUUGAAACCAGGAGGUGGAGGUUGCAGUGAGCCAAGAUCAUGCCACUGCACUCCAGCCUGGGUGACAGAGCAAGACUCUGCCUCAAAAAAAAAAAGAGAGAGAGAUCUCCUCUCAAGGUGUCUCUUUGCUGUCCCUUCCACACAGGUCUGAGUUCCCCCAGAAGUAUUACUGGUGGUUCUUCCAGACCGUACCAGGCCUCACGGGGGUUGUGCUGCUCCUGAUCCUGGCCAUCAUGUAUGUCUUU
Molecule: small RNA, 260 nt
Filed under: Pan troglodytes (chimpanzee)
Lineage: Eukaryota; Metazoa; Chordata; Mammalia; Primates; Hominidae
Description: retained intron
Source: RNAcentral